GACGAACGCUGGCGGCGUGCCUAAUACAUGCAAGUCGAACGCAUUUUCUUUCACCGUAGCUUGCUACACCGGAAGAAAAUGAGUGGCGAACGGGUGAGUAACACGUGGGUAACCUGCCCAUCAGCGGGGGAUAACACUUGGAAACAGGUGCUAAUACCGCAUAAUUCCAUUUACCGCAUGGCAGAUGGAUGAAAGGCGCUUUUGCGUCACUGAUGGAUGGACCCGCGGUGCAUUAGCUAGUUGGUGGGGUAACGGCCUACCAAGGCUGCGAUGCAUAGCCGACCUGAGAGGGUGAUCGGCCACACUGGGACUGAGACACGGCCCAGACUCCUACGGGAGGCAGCAGUAGGGAAUCUUCGGCAAUGGACGCAAGUCUGACCGAGCAACGCCGCGUGAGUGAAGAAGGUUUUCGGAUCGUAAAACUCUGUUG
Molecule: ribosomal RNA, 430 nt
Filed under: uncultured bacterium
Lineage: Bacteria
Description: bacterial SSU rRNA
Rfam family: Bacterial small subunit ribosomal RNA
Source: RNAcentral